RNAcentral lists this ribosomal RNA (253 nucleotides) under uncultured bacterium. Its description in RNAcentral is "partial 16S ribosomal RNA". It matches the Rfam family "Bacterial small subunit ribosomal RNA", at positions 524 to 776 of the family's 1533-position model. The record is from RNAcentral.
UACAGAGGGGGCAAGCGUUGUUCGGAAUCACUGGGCUUAAAGGGCGCGUAGGCGGGUGCUCAAGUCCGUGGUGAAAUCCUCCGGCUCAACCGGAGAACUGCCUCGGAUACUGGGCGUCUCGAGUGUGGUAGGGGUAUGCGGAACUAUCGGUGGAGCGGUGAAAUGCGUUGAUAUCGAUAGGAACUCCGGUGGCGAAGGCGGCAUACUGGACCACCACUGACGCUGAUGCGCGAAAGCCAGGGGAGCAAACGGG